GCCAGGCGCGGUGGCGCGUGCCUGUAGUCCCAGCUACUCGGGAGGCUAAGGUGAGAGGUUCCCUUGAGCCCAUCUGGGCUGUAGUGCACUAUGACGAUCGGGGGUCUGCACUAAGUUCAGCAUCAAUAUGGUGACGUCCCCCGAGCGGGGCAGGGGACCACCAGGUUGCCUAAGGAGGGGUGAACCAGCCCAGAUCAGAAAUGGAGCAGGUCAAAAUUCCUGUGCUAAUCAGCAGUGGGAUCAUGCCUGUGAAUAGCCACUGCACUCCAGCCUGGGCAACAUAGCUAGCCCCUGUCUCUU
RNAcentral lists this signal recognition particle RNA (300 nucleotides) under Callithrix jacchus (white-tufted-ear marmoset). RNAcentral describes it as "Metazoan signal recognition particle RNA (ENSCJAG00000060568.2)". It matches the Rfam family "Metazoan signal recognition particle RNA". Rfam says of the family: The signal recognition particle (SRP) is a universally conserved ribonucleoprotein. It is involved in the co-translational targeting of proteins to membranes. The eukaryotic SRP consists of a 300-nucleotide 7S RNA and six proteins: SRPs 72, 68, 54, 19, 14, and 9. The record is from Rfam by way of RNAcentral. Lineage: Eukaryota; Metazoa; Chordata; Mammalia; Primates; Cebidae.